AAACCGUUCAGGGGUAAACCUGAGAAACCCAAAAGAUCGAAUGGGGAGAUUCAUCGUCGACGGCGUUGGCUACCGUUUGUGCGCGAUGCUCCGGGUGGGACCCUGUGGUUCCAUUAGCGAGGGCACGCCACCUUCGGAUCGAACUUUCCUGCGUCGUAGUCGUGCACUUCUCCCCUAGUAGGACGUCGCGACCCGUUGUGUGUCGGUCUACGGCCCGAGCGGGAGACUGUCGCGUCGCUUCGGCGCACGCGGCAGACCCUCGGUCGCCCGGCCGGCUGCACGACGGUACACCAACGGUAUCGGGCCGCAGCCAAUCCAUUCUCGAAUGUGUGUGCGUCCAUCCCGCCGCAAGCUCGGUCAGUUCUUACCCGGAGGUACGGACCCUGUGCCGUCCCCGGGCCUGGCCAGCUGUUAGCAGGCGGUGUCCUCGGACCGGCCAAACCUCGGAUUACCGGUCGGCGACGCUAUUGCUUUGGGUACUCUCAGGACCCGUCUUGAAACACGGACCAAGGAGUCUAACAUGUGCGCGAGUCAUUGGGAUGCACAAACCUAAAGGCGAAAUGAAAGUGAAAGUCGGCCUUCGCGCCGAUCGAGGGAGGAUGGGCCGCGUAACCAUGCGGCCCCGCACUCCCGGGGCGUCUCGUUCUCACUGCGAGGAGAGGCGCACCUAGAGCGUACACGUUGGGACCCGAAAGAUGGUGAACUAUGCCUGGUCAGGACGAAGUCAGGGGAAACCCUGAUGGAGGUCCGUAGCGAUUCUGACGUGCAAAUCGAUCGUCGGAACUUGGUAUAGGGGCGAAAGACUAAUCGAA
This 812-nucleotide ribosomal RNA is filed under the name Tetragonula sp. C CR-2009. RNAcentral's name for it is "eukaryotic LSU rRNA". It matches the Rfam family "Eukaryotic large subunit ribosomal RNA", at positions 402 to 939 of the family's 3401-position model. Lineage: Eukaryota; Metazoa; Arthropoda; Insecta; Hymenoptera; Apidae. The record is from RNAcentral.